AAUGGGAUGCAAUAAUUCUUUGAUCGUAGGUACAACUGCAUUGAUUGAUGUGUGCAAACGUGAUCGGUUAUGCGAGAAUCCGAUAGGAUACAAUGUUACCUUGUGUAAGGUUUCAUGCGAAUGGUCUGGCUACAGUUUCUACAACAGCUAUUGUGAGGAGGGUAAAUGCUGUUGCGCAUCCUAAGGAAUUGAACGAGGUGCCAAAACGCCAUGCUUGUAAGAUAUGAUGAAUUCCAAUAAACAAUAAAAGUUAGUUUUGGCACGACUGUGCAAUUUCAUGAUUUCAUCAAUAUGGAUGCUAUUCAAGGUAUUUUGAUAUAUAUAGUUAUCCAAAGUUGCCAAGGAGAUUGUGGACGACUAAUUACUGAGUCACUCUCCUUUUGUGUUUACAAUUCCUCAUACCAAAAUCGGUUUUCUCCCUCUCAAGAUCCAAGACCCCUUUGCCAAGUGCAGCUACACCGACGACUCUGAAUUUGCAAAACCGUUCUUAAUAUGAGAUAAUAUGAAUUAGCAAAACCGUUCUCAUAUCGAUAUAAGUGAAUUGGCAAAACCGUUUCAUAUUAAAAUAACUUGAAUAGUGUCUUCAUUGAUCACGUGGGUGCAAGCCUGGAAGAUCUUCAAGUGCUUUUUCGCUGGCGACGAGCUAACUCCCGUUCCAAGGCCAAUGCCAUAAUCACUUAAUUGCUUUAUUCGCUAGCACCGCGUGAUUAGAGAGCGUUUGAGAUCAUCAAAUAGCUCGGCCACGGCUGGCCGGUGGACCACAUGUGACUCGUCGUGAACACGUGGGUACUUGGCCAUCAGCCAAACCAUGCGGACUUGCCAGGUGUAUGACGAAUGAAUUUCAUGGCGGAAUUAAUCUGCUAGAACGGUUUACCCUCGCCGAAUCCCUGUUGCAUGCAUGUGUACAAUGUAGUAAGACUAGUUAAAUGCCCGUGCGUUGCCAAACGAAAUCUUCAUACAAAAAUGCUUUAACAAAGCAAAAGCAUGUUACCCCGUCCCUAUUUACUAAUCAAUGAAAAUCAGAUAUAAAUGUAGAACCUCAUCAUAUCCACACCUCAAAAAUCUACGUGAGAAUAAAGACAAUCUACUUAAAACAAUGUAUACUUAAUUUGCAUGUUAUCCUUGAGAACUGGAUAACCUUUUUUCCCUUUGUUUUGAAAGGUCAUAUACAUGAAACUACAAAUCAGUAAAAAAAACUUGAUAAUAACUCCAGGAAUAAACGCCGUACACUGAAGCAGGUCUGCAGGGCAUGGAACCUUCCUUUGUUUUGCUCUCGUCUCUUCCUUCUCUGUUGAGCAGGUCCGCAGGCCAUGGAACCUCCCGCAGGGCAUGUCAUCUGUUUGUUUUUCUGAUGUCUUGCUCUACUUUACUCUCUGUUGUGCAUCUGAAAAUAAUUUGAUGAUUGGUUGCCGAAGCGUUGCUUCAAUUUCAGCUUAACAAGAACAUAAAUGUGCCUGAUACAAUCCUUCAUAUCGGCUGUGAUUCUCCAGCAUAAGUAUUAAUAUGCGUGAUUGUGUACCUUAUCUAUUCCCAGUCACUAGUCCUCAACAUGAUAAAGACGUUUCAGUGGAUCUGGAUAUGAUUCCAAUUCCACCACCGUAUGAGUUUGUUAAACAAAUUUGUUAAAUUAUCUGUAUUACUUAUUUAAAAUAGUUGUUAUUCGAUAAAUUCACUUUGGCUCAUAGGUGUAAAUGUACCAAUUGUCUAAAUACACAUUUUUUAAAAGUAAAAAAACUCGAGAAAAAAUGCCGCUUGUACAUCUGGACAUUAUAUGUUUGUGCACAACGUUUCGGUGAGAAAGGAAUUUUUGUGCCUUGUGUAAAAAAGACAACUUUUGAUACUUGUGCUACUGUUACAAGGCAUUUCCUAUUUAUAGUGCUGCUGUUGCAAGGCAUUUCCUGUGGCGCCAGUUAACGUGCAUUUUAUUAACUGGCGCCUGUGGCGUCCCUAAAUGGGACGGCCCAUCUAGGCGCCGGUUGACGAUUUUUUCUCAAAACAUUCUGUGAACUUUUUUGAAUAUUGAUGAAAUUUUUAAAAAUUUCAAUAGUUUUUUGUUUCAGAUUGAUGAACUUUUUUGAAAUUUAAUGAAAAUUUGUCUUCAAAAUGUAUGAACUUUUUUUGAUUAUUAUGUAUUUUUAGAACAAGUUCAUGGAACUGAAAAAAAUUCAUCCAUUUUGAAGACAAAUGUUCAUUAAAUAUCAGAAAAGUUCAUCAAUAUUCAAAAAAUUUCAUAAAUCUGAAACAAAAAACUUUUGAAUUUUUUUAAAAGUUCAUCAAUAUUCGAAAAAGUUCACAGAAUGUUUUUAGAAAAAAUCAUCAACCGGCGCCUAGAUGGGCCGGCCCAUUUACGGACGCCACAGGCGCCAGUUAACAAAACGCACGUUAACUGGCGCCUGUAGCGCCAAAUAGGAAAUGCACUGUUAGAACGCACAUGCUCCUUCCCUUUGUUUGAUAGAGUGGGCCAACGCAUCUAAGGUCCGAGCGGGACACUCCCCUUCCCCAGUUUUAGUAAGCAUUUAGAUGCGUCCGGGAGGUUUUCCUUUUUGCUUAAUCCUUUUAGACCGGUUUAGAUUCGGUUUUUCUUUUCUUUUUUCCCUUUUUUCCAAUGAGAAAACUAUUUUCAAAAUAAAAAACAAAAUAUUCAAAUUCGCUUGUUUCCAAAUUCAUGAACCUUUUCCCAAAACCCUUUAUUUUUUUAAAUCCAUAACUUUUUUCCAAAUCCAUGAACUUUUUCAAAUGCAUGCAUUUUUUCAACUGUUUGAACCUUUAUCCAAAUUCAUGAACAUAUUUUUCAAAGUCCGUGUAGUUUUCUCAAAUUUGUGUUUUUAUUUAAAAUCCAUGUUUUUUCAAAUCUAUGAUUUGUUUUUCCCAAUCCACUUUUAUUUGCUUUUCGUUUUUUAUAAAUUUCCCAAUUCAUUUUAUUAUUAAUACUGUGGAAACUUUUUCUUUUCGGUCAUGGCCACUUCCAGUGUUAUUCCUAUUUGUUUUUGUAAAUAAAAAUAUAAAGCAUGUCAAAUUUGUGAAUGGGCCAAAACUAUUAUUUUUGGGCCAAUACUUUUUUAAUUAAUAUGCCUACUUGUUUAUUUUCAGUUUUUUUCCAGGCUAACACUGAUUUUUACAUGGUGGUGAGUGGGUUGUAGUUGGCCACUUUUUUGGGCCUGGAGCCACACUCGCAAAAGUCGCGGGGGAAUUGGUUCUUUUGAUCGAGCCAACUCCAGCGAUUUCGCUCGAAGCAACCCCCAGCUAAUGUCCCCCAACUAAUGUGGUCCUACUAUUAAUGUCUUGGUAUAUACAAAAAACAAAGCGGCAUUUAGUAACUAGUUGUCGACAACCUAUAUUUUGGUAUGUGUAUUCCAGUAACUUAUGAUAGUCUUUAUAUCUUGGUAUAUAGAGAACAAGGAGGAAUUUAAUAACCAUUUGUUGACAGGAUAUAUUCGAGUAUAUUCCAAUAACUCUUAUAAUAGUAUUAAUUGACAUGAGUUGACUAUGCAUAUAUAGCUACAAAGGAUGAUAACACUAACAUUGGAUUCUCCAUUAUUUUCUUCUUGAAAUGAAGAUGCUCCGAGAUGUGAUAGUGCCUCUAUAUAAACGAAGUUAUUUAUCAGUCGAUGUAGUUUUCGCAAAUUUGUGUUUUUUUAAAUAAAAGAAUUCCAGAUCUGUAAACCUUUUGCAAUUCUAUGAUUGUUGAAAUCCAUUUUUAUUCGAUUUUCAUUUUUUAUGAAUUUCCCAAUUCAUUUUGUUAUUAAGAGCAUGAUGUUUUUUGUUUUCGGUCAUGGAACUUUGAGUGGUAUUCCUAUUUUUUCUGAAAAUAAAAAUAUAAAGCAUGUAAAUUUGUUAAUGGGCCAACACUAUUAUUUUCCGGUCAACACUUUUUAAUUAAUAUGCAAAUUUGUGAAAUUUUAGUUUUUUUUCCAGGCAAGCACUGAUUUUACACUGGUGGUGAAUGGGUUGUAGUUCGCCACUUUUUUUGGGCCUGCUCCCACACUCGCAAAAGUCGUUGGGGAAUUGGUUCUUUUGAUCGAGCCAACUCCAACCCCCAGCUAAUGUCCCCCAACUAAUGGGGUCCUAGUAUUAAUGUCUUAGUAUAUACCAAAAACAAAGAGUCAUUUAAUAACCAGCUGUCGAUGACCUAUAUUUUGGCAUGUAUAUUCCAAUAACUCUUAUGAUAGUAUUAAUGUCUUGGUAUAUAAAGAACAAGAAGGCAUUUAAUAACCAGUUGUUGACAGGAUAUAUUUGGGUAUAUUCCAAUAACUCUUAUAAUAGUAUUAAUUGACAUGAGUUGACUAUGUAUAUAGAUACAAAGGAUGACAACACUAACAUUGGAUUCUCCAUUAUUUUCUUCUUGAAAUGAAGAUGCUCCGAGAUGUGAUAGUGCCUCUAUAUAAUACCACAAUAAGGACUCAAAUACAACGAGCAAUAUCAACCUCAAGGAAUAUCUUGCAAGGGAGGAAAAAAAUAGGUACCCACACUUCUGAUGGCACUUACCAAGAACAACACAAAUGCCCUGUGUUUGGUAAUUCUUAUGAUGUCUACCACUUUGUUGCCAUGCGAGGCAACUGGGAGAAACAAAGGUACACUCAUUUGUUUAGACCAGUCAAAUUUUGUAUUAAUAUACACAGACUUUAGGUUUUGAGACAUUCUAGAGUAACAUGUGUAAUUUAUACUACAUUACUAAUCUGAAAUGGGACUUCUUUGUGCGUAGGUACAACUGCAUUGAUUGAUGUGUGCAAACGUGACCGGUUAUGCGAGAGCCCGAUAGGAUACAAUGUUACCUUGUGUAAGGUUUCAUGUGAAUGGUCUGGCUACAGUUUCGACAACAGCUAUUGUGAAGAGGGUAAAUGCUGCCGCGCAUCCUAAGGAAUUAAACGAGGUGCCAGAACGCCAUGCUUGGAAGAUAUGGUGAAUUUCAAUAAACAAUAAAAGUUAGUUUUGGCACAACUGUGCAACUUAAUGGUUUCAUCAAUAUGAAUGCUAUCCAAGUUAUUUUGAUACGAAAAACCGUGUUUCAAAGUCGCCAAGGAAACGAGGGACGACUGAUUAUUGUGUCACUCUCUCCUUCAGUGUUU
Molecule: long non-coding RNA, 5066 nt
Filed under: Triticum aestivum (bread wheat)
Lineage: Eukaryota; Viridiplantae; Streptophyta; Magnoliopsida; Poales; Poaceae
Description: long non-coding RNA (TAES_LNC021580)
Source: RNAcentral